ACUUAAAGACAUUUCAUGAUAUCUAUCCAGCAACAAUGUGUGUGCAAUCAAAUCUACCAAGAUAAACUCCUCAAACUGAAUUCCUUAAAUAUUUAAACUGCACCCACUGUCAGGUGCUUUUACAAAGGGCAAAGGUAAUGUUUAACAGGAGAAAACUUUGGUGGAGCUUCUCUUCAAACAGACCACAGCAUGAUAUCUCAUGCCAAGGGUACACAUGCAACUUACUGGGGCAACUUUCAGUCCAAUAUGUCAGAGAAAGAUCAGAGAUCCAGUUCAGGACAGAGCAAGAUUAAGGGGGAAUAUUUGCAAAGCUCAAAAUACAUAAUUGAGGUCAAACUGUGGUGUAUUCAUUGGUGGAAUAAACACCGCCUGCAGAUGUCAGCAUAGUACAGUAUUACAUGUGAAGAAAAUACAGUAGCCUAUGUGAAGUCUGAUAAAUCAGAUUGUGGACCCCAUAUGUUGAGGCGGGCCCUCUAAACCCCACCCCCUGCACCUGCAAACCUGUCUGCUCUGUGUCAUACAGUAUCAACAAGAUGAGUCUUUGACAUUGUACAGAGGCUUUCCAGGAGCAAUAUCCUCACCAACAAUUUGUUCUGCCAAUGUCAUUUAUCACAUGUUCAAAAUUAUAUGGAUCAUAUGUAGGAGAGGCACAGUUUCAAAAGGCCAUUCACUGUUAGACAUUUCGACAAAUGUUGUAGAAUAUGUUAUAAUGUGUUGUUUGAAAUAGCUUAAAAUUAUAGGACAAAUUAUACUAAACAGAAUAUAGACAGAAACAUUUGUAGAGCAAAAAAAUUAAAACUUUUGAUAAACAGUAGCCUAUAUUUGUACAUUUAGUACGUCUACAUUGUACAGUUGUGGCUGUUUCAGAGCUUGGAGUACACAUGCAUAAACCUUAAACCAGCAAUAACCCAAUUUUAAAUUAACUUUUCCAUUUGAGGAGCUCAGGUGCAAAAGCCUCUAAACGCCACCUCACUUCAAAAAUGAGAUAAUGA
This is a long non-coding RNA of Misgurnus anguillicaudatus (oriental weatherfish), 992 nucleotides long. RefSeq lists it as uncharacterized. The record is from RefSeq and is a predicted model, not a curated record. NCBI's taxonomy places the organism in Eukaryota, Metazoa, Chordata, Actinopteri, Cypriniformes, Cobitidae.